Molecule: unclassified non-coding RNA, 238 nt
Filed under: Hevea brasiliensis (rubber tree)
Lineage: Eukaryota; Viridiplantae; Streptophyta; Magnoliopsida; Malpighiales; Euphorbiaceae
Source: RNAcentral
AAUAAGUUGCACAGGUACUCCUGACUUGACUCCCUUAGCUGAAUUUCUUCCUACAACAACAGGACUCAGACUAUUUUGUUGAUUAGAAGCACACUGAGAACAGAUGUAUUGCUCCUUAUAGCCAGAUUGCAGGCAAGGGUGCUUAAUUUCUGUGUUCGCACUUACCAGAUCUGCACUUGGAAGUGCUCUUAAAAUAUGGACAACAGACUUGUCAAAUGCAUCAUUUAAACCAUAGCCU